UUCCUAAACAAAUAGCAGCAAGUGAGGAAUUACCUGCUGUGUGAUUAUUACAAGUCUUAGACUAGGAUGAGAUGGCUUGAGGUUUCCAUAUUAAAUUACAUGUUUUGAUUCCAAAGCUCUUACAAGUGACUUGGUCCACUUGAGCAAUUUGGUGCCAUCUGAAUUAAACAGUUUGUUUAAUCCCACUGAGAGACAAGGAGUAAGAGACAAGUUCAUGGAAGAACACUAGCAACAGCAAGCAAGACAUGGAGUUUUGCUAUUGAAGAAUAGGACUAGAAAUGAGCCUGAACAAAUCAGCAGUACCAGUGGAUGCAAAAAGAGAUGUUUUCUAUUCCCCCACAGCAGAACUGCUAAGCAUGCAAAGAGACCCUGCUGCCUGAAGUGAUCUCAGCACAGCUUGAACAAGCUCAAUCUCAGACUCUAAAAAGCUCCUUUGCUGGUUUUGGUAAAAGGCUAGGGCUGAAUUCUCAAAGCUGCUGUUUUACUCUGCUUCAUAUGGAAGAAAUGAAUAAAAGAAAGAUUGUGAAAAAGCCACGUGUGAAUGGGAAAACAGUUUGGAUUGGCAGCCCAGGUGCUGUGUGGCCCAAGACCACUCUCCGUGGUGCCAUCUGCAGGAGGAGGAAAAUUUCCUUGUUGGAACAUCUUGAGAAAAGGACAACUGGUAUGAAAAUCUCUUUUGGAAAAUCUCCCCGCCUGUGAUAUGAACAGUUUCAGAGGUAACGCAGCUGGGGAUAAUUAUACAUUUCUGUCACACACUCCUGAAUGCUCCCUGCUCCGUGGGAGGGUAGGAGGCACAAACGCAGGAGCUUGACCACUCUAGUAGAAUAUUAAAACCCAGGGGAAAACAGACGACUCCUCGUUUAGAGACCACAUUAUGGACUCUGACUGUUUUGUCCUUUGUGUUUCUUUAAAUAAAUACCAGAGAUCUACUCCUGACA
Molecule: long non-coding RNA, 938 nt
Filed under: Anas platyrhynchos platyrhynchos (common mallard)
Lineage: Eukaryota; Metazoa; Chordata; Aves; Anseriformes; Anatidae
Description: lncRNA (ENSAPLG00000023170.1)
Source: RNAcentral